Molecule: ribosomal RNA, 381 nt
Filed under: uncultured bacterium
Lineage: Bacteria
Description: bacterial SSU rRNA
Rfam family: Bacterial small subunit ribosomal RNA
Source: RNAcentral
UACAGAGGGUGCGAGCGUUAAUCGGAAUUACUGGGCGUAAAGGGCGCGUAGGCGGUAGAUUAAGUUAGAUGUGAAAUCCCUGGGCUUAACCUAGGAACUGCAUCUAAUACUGGUCUGCCAGAGUGCAGUAGAGGGUAGUGGAAUUUCCGGUGUAGCGGUGAAAUGCGUAGAUAUCGGAAGGAACACCAGUGGCGAAGGCGGCUACCUGGACUGACACUGACGCUGAGGCGCGAGAGCGUGGGGGGAGCAAACAGGAUUAGAUACCCUGGUAGUCCACGCCGUAAACGAUGAGAACUAGAUGUUGGUAGGCUUGACCUAUUAGUAUCGAAGCUAACGCGAUAAGUUCUCCGCCUGGGGAGUACGGCCGCAAGGCUAGAACUC